Molecule: RNA transcript, 5332 nt
Organism: Cebus imitator (Panamanian white-faced capuchin)
Lineage: Eukaryota; Metazoa; Chordata; Mammalia; Primates; Cebidae
Gene: UCHL5
Gene name: ubiquitin C-terminal hydrolase L5
Exons: 12
Source: RefSeq, a predicted model, not a curated record
AGGAGGAGAAAGAGGAGGAGUAACGCAGGCCCUCGCGACGCCGGCCUGUGGGGAGCGGGGGAGCGGGGGAGCGGCGGACCGGCGAGAAGGGCCCACCCUCAGGAACGGUCCGGCCGGGCCCAGCGAGGAUGUGCCCACCCGAUGCUGGUUCCGUGACCGAGGCGGGUGGGCGCGGAAGCGGGGCGGGGGAGGGCGAGGCUUUCGCGGCGUCUGCCCGGCCUCAGCCCCUGGGCUGCCGGGUGAGAGACAUGGAGGACUGGUCAGACCCUGCGCGUCCCUGGGGCCGCUGAGACCGCACAAAAGGCUCCCGGCCGGCCUCCCGCAGUGUCCUCACCUGUGCCUGGCAGCCGACCCGCCGGACCUGCAGCGCCGUCAGGAGAAGUCCUGCGCAGCGCUGGGAAACGACACGAGACAGCAGCCUGACGGGCAGCGACAGCCACAGCUCCGCUGCCGCCGGGGCUUCCAGGUUGCCGAGGAGCCCAGGUUGAAGAAAUAUGGAGUUUAGAGCCUGAGAAUUUUGAAAAAUUAAAGCCAGUUCAUGGGUUAAUUUUUCUUUUCAAGUGGCAGCCAGGAGAAGAACCAGCAGGCUCUGUGGUUCAGGACUCCCGACUCGACACGAUAUUUUUUGCUAAGCAGGUAAUUAAUAAUGCUUGUGCUACUCAAGCCAUAGUGAGUGUGUUACUAAACUGUACCCACCAGGAUGUCCAUUUAGGAGAGACAUUAUCAGAGUUUAAAGAAUUUUCACAAAGUUUUGAUGCAGCUAUGAAAGGCUUGGCAUUGAGCAAUUCAGAUGUGAUUCGACAAGUACACAACAGUUUCGCCAGACAGCAAAUGUUUGAGUUUGAUACGAAGACAUCAGCAAAAGAAGAAGAUGCUUUUCAUUUUGUCAGUUAUGUUCCUGUUAAUGGAAGACUGUAUGAAUUAGAUGGAUUAAGAGAAGGACCGAUUGAUUUAGGUGCAUGUAAUCAAGAUGAUUGGAUCAGUGCAGUAAGGCCUGUCAUAGAGAAAAGGAUACAAAAGUACAGUGAAGGUGAAAUUCGAUUUAAUUUAAUGGCUAUUGUGUCUGACAGAAAAAUGAUAUAUGAACAGAAGAUAGCAGAGUUACAAAGACAACUUGCAGAGGAACCCAUGGAUACAGAUCAGGGUAAUAGUAUGUUAAGUGCUAUUCAGUCAGAAGUUGCCAAAAAUCAGAUGCUUAUUGAAGAAGAAGUACAGAAAUUAAAAAGAUACAAGAUUGAGAAUAUCAGAAGGAAGCAUAAUUAUCUGCCUUUCAUUAUGGAAUUGUUAAAGACAUUAGCAGAACACCAGCAGUUAAUACCACUAGUAGAGAAGAUAUUCUGAUAUAGGGGAAGGAUUCUUUAAUAAGUUCCCCAAGUGAUUCUAAUGCAACUGGUCUGUGUACCACAUUUUGAGAAACACUUUGAGAAGACACUACUAGGCAAAUAAAAUUUUGGACCAUUAACUUAAAGACAAGAAUACAUGGCAAAAGAAAAACAGAAUGCAAAGAAAGCUCAGGAAACCAAAUGAAGAGGAUGUUUUGGGAUAUGUACACAUUUCUGCUUCUGCACUUAUUUUCAUGGAAAUCAUUAUGUAUAAAGAACUUUGAGCAACAACCUAAUUGGCUCAGUGCACGUUUGGUAAUAGUGCCUGUCUGUCUUGUCUUUAAUGCAUGAAUUCAUAAACUUCUUCCCUACCUGCAUCAUGUGCAUGUAGUGCAUACUAAAUGAAAGUGAUGUUAAGAGUGCUUGCCCAAAUUCCAUUAUUUGACAUUGAAUCUGAGAACUGUUUGUUUUCUGGAUGUAUAACUACCGUAAUGAAGCUAGAAAAUGCACAAAUGAUAAUCCUGAUCUGUAAUUUAAAUACUUAAAAUUUGUAAUUGUCAGAUCUUGAUUAAACUGGAUCUCUUAUUUCUUCUCAUCAUUAAUGGGAAAAAAUCAGUAUUUCUAUCUUUGAUAUCUAAGUGUUUUGAGGAUUUUAAAACUGAAUUUUAUCUGCUAUACCAGUUAUUUGAAAAAGUAUGAUUUUAAUGUAAAUCAUUUAAAAAGGACAAAGUAUAAUUUCCAGUGAUUUUCAUUACUGUCAGUAGAAAAGUAAUAAACAUCUCAAUUUUAUUUUAGUAAAAUUUCUUCAAGUGUUUGGGGUUAUUUGUUUAUGUAUUAGAGAAUUGUUUCAGGAAGAUCUGAGUAUUAUGCAUCAAAGCAGAAUUUCAGGUUAAGAAGAAAUUUUAAAUCUUAAAGAGUGUUACUGUUACUCUCAGUGGAAUAUUUUUUCAAGCUGUUAAGCUGUAUAUAAAAAAUUGGAGGUUUGACAGUUCAUGCUAUCUGCUUUUUUAAAAAGGUGAUAGUGGUGAUGGGGGAUGUUUCUAUGCCAAUUUGAAUAAGUUCAUACACGCUGCAGUUUCCAAGAGCCAUAAACAAUUUGCUCACAAUUGAUUUUUUUAAAUUGUUUUUGGGAGUUGCUUUGUAUAAUAUUUUUGCUUCUAAUCUUCCUUUCCAAGUCAGACUUUAAAGAAAACUGUACAAACUUUUAUUUUAAAGGAAAUAAUCUACUUUUUUCUUUAUCAAGAAUAUUUCUGAGGUUUAUGUAUGACUUUUAACCAUUUUAUUAUUUAUUGUAAAAUAAAUUUAACAUAAAUUAUUUUGUUAGGGAGAAUGUGUACCCAUCUCCCAAUUUCAACACAUGAAUUUUUAAGGAUUGUUUUUAAGCUUAGUAAUUGUGGUAUUAAAUAACAGAAUUAAUGGAGAAAAACUUGAUGGGAAAUUGAUAGAAAAAUUAAUGAAAUAUUUUUUGUACAUAAUUUCAGUUGGAGGUAAUGAAAAAUAUGUAGCUUCUUAGUUGUUUGUGGGUAAAUAUGUUUUGCUGUUGAAACAGUAAUAGUUAUGGAGUGUUUUCAAAGCCAUGAUAUAAUGUUAAAAAAUGGAUUUUUAAGGAAGGCUCAUCUUAAUGCCAUUCAUGUAUUUCAGCUUAAUUUAUAUAUCCUUUCCUAUUGAGGCUUAAAUUUUGUAAAGCAAUGUGAGGAUCAUUGUGGUAAGUUGUAUUUAGUAAUCAAUAUGGUGUGAUACUAGCGCUAGGAUUGACAAAUAAAUCAAUGGAAUAGAAGAGAGAGCCUGAAAACAGAUCAACAUGUAUAUGAUCACUUGAUUUUGACAAAGGUGGCAAAACAAUUUAACAGGGAAGGAAAUUCUUUUCAACAAAAGGAGCCAGAAUAGAAUAGCUGAAUAUCCACCUAGAAAAAAAUGAACAGUGACCCCCUACCUCACAAAAAUGACUUUGAGAUGAAUCAUAGAUCUAAUGUAAUGUUUUAAAAGUAUGAAGCUUUCUAACUGAAAACAUAUGUGAUUAUUUUUGUGACUUGGGGAUUAGCCAAAGGCUUCUUAGGUCACAGAAAGCAGUAGAUCCAAAAUUAGAGCUCAUCAAAAUUGUCAUUGAAAAUGUUAACAAAAGUAGUAUCAAAUGACAUUUGAAAAAUAGUUUUGUAAAACUAUAUUAAUAGGUAUAAGGAUUUUUUCUUAUUAAUCUAAUAAAAUUCCUUAAUAGGAAUUUCCAUAGCUUAAGAAUGACUUAUUUUAUCUGCAUCUUCUUUGAUGAUUGCAAAUGCCUUGUGAUACUUCAUGAUAACUCUGUCUGUGAAUAAAAAAGUAUGACUUGUCUUUGUCUGGGUGCUAUAUAUUGCUGGUUUGAAACUAAGUCAGGAAGCUAGUGGGUAGAGAAAAUGGAAGAAUAAAGAGCAACCCAGAAAUAGAUGAAUCUUAUGUCGAAGCUUUUGUUAAUGAAUACUUUAUAGAAAGUCUUGUCGAUUCUUUUCUGAAAUUUAUAUUUAAUUAUUGGGUAGGUGAAGGCACUUCCAUUCUAUUUUAUGCCUUUCAAAAUAGCCAAUUCUAAGGGAUGUACUUCUGCUGUUGUCAACAAAAAGCUUGGCAACAGCUGCGGCAUUGGCUACUCUCACCUUAUAUGUUUAGUCCCCAAGGUAGCUGCCCUUUCUCUAACAGCAGGCAGCUCGACUGUGCCACUAGAAUAGACAAAUAUUUGCUCGGGAAUCACAACCAUGGGGACUUGCUCCCCUAGUUUGGGCCAUGGUACAUAUUUUUGUUUAUAUUAUGGGUGUUACAUGCAGAUUAACAGUUUCAGUUAAUCCUCCUAGUUGCCGGUAACGUUAACAUUUCGAGAUAUAUUUAGGUUUUUUUUUUUUUUUCUUUAGGAGGCUUUGUUUCUUUUAUUUUACAAAAAAGCCUUUUAAUGUAUUCUCAAACAUUUAGAGAAAACAUAAGCAAAAAUAAAAUUUAAAUUACCUUAGUUCUACCAACAGGAAUGAGCACAUUCACAUUUUGGUGUAUUUAGUGAUCUUUUUUCCUCAUGUGUACAUAUAUGUUUUUGUGUGUUAGUCUUGCUUGCCCUCCCCAUAGUCUGAAAUCAUUUUAUGUAGUUUAUAUUAUUUUUAAACCUGAUAUGCAAAUUUUCAGGAAACAAACUACUCUAGCUAUUUGAAGAGGAAUGCAGAUUUAUAUUGGGAAUUUUGAAAUUACCUAGUUUCUUACAAAAUCAUUGGAAGGUUUGGAGGAGUGGUUUCGAGUUUGAGUCUCCAGAAAUGACUCCCAUGCAAACAUUUUUUAGAGUAGUGUGAAUUCCUAGAUCAGUCAAACAUGCACGUUAUUUAGUUUGUACUUUAGUACAUUGUUAACUGGCCUAAAUCCAAUGACUUUGACAGGGUAAAGAGUCACCAUUUUUAGCAUACUGGACACUUUUUGUUUUUGACUUGAUUACAUUAACCUUUUGGAAACUAUUCAGUGAUUUAUUCAACCUACAUCUGUGUUGUUCUAGAUGCUAGAGGGUAGCAUAAAAGGAUAAAGCCUGUGUUCUCAUGAUGAGACAGGUAAGUAUAUAAUAAAACUUUUCAAAUAGUUGUAUGAAUGGUAAAGUAGGGAAAAGGGGUGGGAGGAGCUGAGGUUUGAUAAGAUGGUCAUGGAAGAUUCCGUUAAUGAGAUGAGCUUCAAGUAAAGACCUAAAUGAAGAGAAGUUUUUCUCUAGUACUGAACUGGCACUGUGCAAGUGGAUUGCCUAUAGGCAUAAUCAAUGUGCAAUAAUUCAGAAUAUUGAUUUGCAAUUAUGUUUGAUGGUUAAUUGGUUUUUGAAUAUUGAUAUGGAUUGUCAAUAUAAAAAUAGGUUGAUUAAAAGUUAUAUAUGGAAAAGGCUAGGACUACUGGUAUAUGUACAUUUUAGAUUAUUAUUAUAUUUUACAUAAUAUGCUUGACCCAACCCUUUCUUGUAGCAAUGAUAAUAUAAUAUUAAAUAAACCAUAAAACCAGUGGGGAAAGUCUCAUGUAGGUAUAUUUUU